GUGGGGAAUAUUGCACAAUGGGGGAAACCCUGAUGCAGCAACGCCGCGUGAAGGAAGAAGGCCUUUGGGUCGUAAACUUCUGUUCUAAGGGAAGAUAAUGACGGUACCUUAGGAGCAAGUCCCGGCUAACUACGUGCCAGCAGCCGCGGUAAUACGUAGGGGGCAAGCGUUAUCCGGAAUUAUUGGGCGUAAAGGGUACGUAGGUGGUUACCCAAGCACGAGGUAUAAGGCAAUGGCUUAACCAUUGUUCGCCUUGUGAACUGGGCUACUUGAGUGCAGGAGAGGAAAGCGGAAUUCCUAGUGUAGCGGUGAAAUGCGUAGAUAUUAGGAGGAACACCAGUGGCGAAGGCGGCUUUCUGGACUGUAACUGACACUGAGGUACGAAAGCGUGGGGAGCAAACAGGAUUAGAUACCCUUGUAGUCC
This 424-nucleotide ribosomal RNA is filed under the name uncultured bacterium. Its description in RNAcentral is "bacterial SSU rRNA". It matches the Rfam family "Bacterial small subunit ribosomal RNA", at positions 354 to 796 of the family's 1533-position model. The record is from RNAcentral.